GUACCUGCAGAAUAAGCUCCGGCUAACUACGUGCCAGCAGCCGCGGUAAUACGUAGGGNGCAAGCGUUAAUCGGAAUUACUGGGCGUAAAGCGUGCGCAGGCGGUUUGGAAAGAAAGAUGUGAAAUCCCAGAGCUUAACUUUGGAANUGCAUUUUUAACUNCCNGGCUAGANUGNGUCAGAGGGUAGAGUGGAAUUCCGCAGUGUAGCAGUGAAAUNCGUAGAUAUUCGGAAGAACACCGAAUGGCGAAG
Molecule: ribosomal RNA, 250 nt
Filed under: uncultured bacterium
Lineage: Bacteria
Description: partial 16s rRNA
Rfam family: Bacterial small subunit ribosomal RNA
Source: RNAcentral